GACGAACGCUGGCGGUGUGCUUAACACAUGCAAGUCGAACGGAAAGGCCCUGCUUUUGUGGUAUGCUCGAUGGGCGAACGGGUGAGUAACACGUAAGCGACCUGACCUUGACUUUGGGAUAAGUACAGGCAACUGGGGGUAAUACCGGAUAGGAGCUCCUGCUGCAUGGUGGGUGUUGGAAAGAUGCGGCGGAUGGGGAUGGACUCGCGGCUUAUCAGCUUGUUGGUGGGGGAUGGGAUUACCAAGGCUUUGACGGGUAGCGGGCCUGAGAGGGGGACCGGCCACAUUGGGACUGAGCUACGGCCGGGACUACUGCGGGAGGCAGCACUAGGGAAUAUUGCACAAUGGGCGGAAGUCUGAUGCAGCAACGCCGCGUGAUGGAUGACGGCCUUCUGGUUGUAGACCGCUUUCGCCUGUGCCGAAGCGUGAGUGACGGUAAUGGGUAAAGAAGCACCGGCUAACUACGUG
This 468-nucleotide ribosomal RNA is filed under the name uncultured bacterium. RNAcentral describes it as "partial 16S ribosomal RNA". It matches the Rfam family "Bacterial small subunit ribosomal RNA", at positions 28 to 507 of the family's 1533-position model. The record is from RNAcentral.